Non-coding RNA from Bos taurus (domestic cattle), 73 nucleotides. The record is from Rfam. Lineage: Eukaryota; Metazoa; Chordata; Mammalia; Artiodactyla; Bovidae.
UCCCUGGUGGUCCAGUGGUUAAGACGCCACACUUCCACUGCAGAGGGUCCAGGUUCAGUCCCUGGUUGGGAAA